RNAcentral lists this long non-coding RNA (801 nucleotides) under Zostera marina. RNAcentral describes it as "long non-coding RNA (ZMAR_LNC002468)". Lineage: Eukaryota; Viridiplantae; Streptophyta; Magnoliopsida; Alismatales; Zosteraceae. The record is from RNAcentral.
AAAGCUUCUUGGUGUUUUGUUGUGUGUCGCUGUGUGGGUGAGGUGUCAACUUCCACCCCCAAGACGGCGCAAAUCCCCAAAUCAUUAAGGUAAAUUUAAAUAAUUAAUUAAUUCAUCGUGCAUGUUUUUUUCUUCCAUUUUUCUAAAGAAUCCAAUGUUUUUUCUUCCGUGUGAAUUCUUAAAAAAUAGGGUGUCUAUUGUAAUUUUCCCUGAUUGGAUCCAGAUGUAAAGACAAUAGAAUAUGUACUUGAGUCGUAACAUACAUGUGUGGAUACAGUCUAUACCUGACAGUAACUACUAAGUUCAUUUCUUAAACGCAUCUCUGGCCGAUCUUCGGUUGAGGUAUGGACUUCAGUUGUCACUCUUUACUUGUGCCUAUAUUGUAAUUUUAAUGAGACAAAAAAAUCAUGACUAUUAGGUCGAUAUUUCGUCGUAUAUCAGUUAAUGUCUUUUGCUGUACAUUUUUUUCAUCGUAUUAAUGUCUUAUACAGUACAUUAUUGUAGUGGUUAGAUUAAAAAUUAAAAGACAGACUGCACACGACGUAUUUUGACGCACCGACGUACGGCGCAUUUGAAAAUUAUCGUUAUAAUUUAUGAGAUAUUGACCUCACCAUUCGUUUUUUAUCCAACCAUCAUAAUAGAUAAUGAUAUAACAUGAAUAUCUUAAUUCCAGGUGACGUGGACAUUACGAAUCCGUGGUCCAUCCACAGCCAAUUUCAGCUGCGGACGUUCGUAAGUGAAGCUGGCUGUAAAUAAAUAAUGUUAUCUGAUCUGUCGGCUUUUUUUAAUCGAAAAAAGUUG